UCUCUCCCCGUCAGCCUGGGAGCUUCCUCAGGAAGGACCACUGAUUGGGAAAAAACCCACAGAGCUUCCAGCUGGCAGGAGAAGCAGGGGCUGGCCACAGCGCUGCCCCAUGGGUGAGCCUCCUCCAGCUGUACUGCUGGGGACAGGACGCUUCUCCACCAAGUGAAGAGGGCAGCGUCUCUGGCGAUGGCAUGAUGCAAGGAGCAGUGUUUAUGUCCAGGAAAGUCCCCAAAUUACAAAGCACAGUGCAAACAGAGAAAGGGCGGACACUCCGGCCAGCAGGAUAGAGGAAUAGGGCCAGACCCUCAGAAGGACGAAGGACGAAGCAGUACAGCUGUGGUCCGAGAUAUGUGUGUCCUCUGGACACUGCGCACCCCGAGAGUGACUCCCAGGCCACUCAGGCUUGACAGUGUGGCCGGACGCAAAAGGAAAUCUAUGGUACCCGGUGGAGAGAGGAGACACCACACCCUAAGUCAACUCCACCGGCACCGCAGCGGUAGGCAGGUGCAAGGAUGCCGGACGUGCGCGAGCCAGAGGGACAGAGCUCUCAGUCUGUGACUGAACAUAGGGCCCAAAGAGGAGAGACCGCAUUUCCCUGCCUUCCAGCAGAAGCUAGGAGCAUGCAGCUCGACUGUGGACCUCCAGGCCGUGGACCGGUACCUCCUGUCGGAUCAGCGGCGACAUUAGAUUGGAAAUAAAGAGCAUGAUAAGUGCA
Bubalus bubalis (water buffalo) is the source of this 715-nucleotide long non-coding RNA. RefSeq lists it as uncharacterized. The record is from RefSeq and is a predicted model, not a curated record. The transcript has 2 exons. NCBI's taxonomy places the organism in Eukaryota, Metazoa, Chordata, Mammalia, Artiodactyla, Bovidae.